AUACGGGGGGGGCAAGCGUUGUUCGGAUUUACUGGGCGUAAAGAGCUCGUAGGCGGCUUGUUUAGUCGGACGUGAAAUCCCUCGGCUCAACUGAGGAACUGCGUCCGAUACUGGCAGGCUUGAAUCCGGGAGAGGGAUGCGGAAUUCCAGGUGUAGCGGUGAAAUGCGUAGAUAUCUGGAGGAACACCGGUGGCGAAGGCGGCAUCCUGGACCGGUAUUGACGCUGAGGAGCGAAAGCCAGGGUAGCAAACGGGAUUAGAAACCCCAGUAGUCC
This 274-nucleotide ribosomal RNA is filed under the name uncultured bacterium. RNAcentral describes it as "partial 16S ribosomal RNA". It matches the Rfam family "Bacterial small subunit ribosomal RNA", at positions 523 to 796 of the family's 1533-position model. The record is from RNAcentral.